UACGGAGGGAGCUAGCGUUGUUCGGAAUUACUGGGCGUAAAGCGCACGUAGGCGGCUUUGUAAGUCAGAGGUGAAAGCCUGGAGCUCAACUCCAGAAUUGCCUUUGAGACUGCAUCGCUUGAAUCCAGGAGAGGUGAGUGGAAUUCCGAGUGUAGAGGUGAAAUUCGUAGAUAUUCGGAAGAACACCAGUGGCGAAGGCGGCUCGCUGGACUGGUAUUGACGCUGAGGCACGAAAGCGUGGGGAGCAAACAGG
This 253-nucleotide ribosomal RNA is filed under the name uncultured bacterium. RNAcentral describes it as "partial 16S ribosomal RNA". It matches the Rfam family "Bacterial small subunit ribosomal RNA", at positions 524 to 776 of the family's 1533-position model. The record is from RNAcentral.